AAGGAUCAUUAAUGAAUUCACUAUGGAGUUGUUGCUGGCCUCUAGGGGCAUGUGCACGCUUCACUAGUCUUUCAACCACCUGUGAACUUUUGAUAGAUCUGUGAAGUCGUCUUUCAAGUCGUCAGACUUGGUUUGCUGGGAUUUAAACGUCUCGGYGUGACAACGCAGUCUAUUUACUUAACACACCCCAAAUGUAUGUCUACGAAUGUCAUUUAAUGGGCCUUGUGCCUAUAAACCAUAAUACA
This 245-nucleotide unclassified non-coding RNA is filed under the name Pleurotus ostreatus (oyster mushroom). RNAcentral's name for it is "ITS1". The record is from RNAcentral. Lineage: Eukaryota; Fungi; Basidiomycota; Agaricomycetes; Agaricales; Pleurotaceae.